This is a long non-coding RNA of Dendrobium catenatum, 3324 nucleotides long. RefSeq lists it as uncharacterized. The transcript is spliced from 2 exons. NCBI's taxonomy places the organism in Eukaryota, Viridiplantae, Streptophyta, Magnoliopsida, Asparagales, Orchidaceae. The record is from RefSeq and is a predicted model, not a curated record.
GGCAGCCAAAAAUGGGAAGGGUAAAAUAAUAAUGAACAUUAAGAUGAUAUAUGAAACUAAAAGGAAAGGAUUGGAAAAAAAAUGGCAGACAAAUAAUAAUAUUAUUAGAAAGUAUGGAGAAAAUUACACAAAAAAGAUUUAAUACCUCGCAUAGCAUUAAGAGGAAGAAAAGGAGUAAUGAUUUGUAAAGGGGCAUAUCCAAUACAUAAAACUCCUAAAGUGGGACUUGGGAUAGAAAAACAAACUUACCUUAGUGCUUUAAAAUAUAUAUUUAACUAAAACUUGUGACCUCAACAUAUCGUAAUGAAAGCAACCUAACCAAUACUCUAACCCCCAAAGACUUAGUUAGGAUAAAAACAACCCCAAUUAGUUAGAAAAAGGUUCUUAUUGAUUCUAAUGAUGAGACUUAAAUUUAUAUUGAACACCUCAGAAUUGAAUUAAUUUUGAUUGAAAGUUUAUCAUGGUGCAAAAGAUAGAAAAUAUGAGUCAACUUCCAGUUAAGAAUAAACUCAAUGAUUUCAAGUUCGUGCCAUGGGUAGCUAGGUCGUUUUAAGUUGACAUAAAAACUUCAUGCAACAAAGCAUGCAUAUAAGUGAUUCAAACAAUUGAAAAAUUAUAUUGUAAAAUCAUAUUUAAUUGACAAAAUUAAUAGCUUUAAUAUCAACAACUGUUACUUUUUUUGAUCAUGUAGUUAAGUUUCAAUUGCCUCGAUAAUUUCAUAAGUUUUAAUGUUUAGCUUCAAUCAUUUUUGUUUUUAUAAUCUUUCACUUCUUUUAAGUAUACUUUACAUAGGUGUCAAAACAAAAACUUAAUAUAUUUCGUUGAAUAUCAAUCAAUUUUUCACAUUUUAAGAUAAGCUUCAAGCUUUUCAUUGAGUUCCAUCUACUCCAAUAAUGAUGAUUUCAGCCCAUGUUUGAUUAUGUUGGUCAAAGAUUUCUUGAAACCAUAAAAAAUAACUAAAGCUAAGUGAAAAAAAAAAAAAAUCAAUUUUAAAUAGGCCUCAACUAAAACCAAUGAAAAACAAUCAAAAUAUAUCAAUUAUAAAUUAAAAAAAAGUAUGUACUUAACUACAACACAAAAUAAUUUUUUUUAGCAAACAGUCCUUCAUAAUUAGCCAUCAAAUAUGAAUAUAAAUCAAAUAUACAUACAUCAAGCCUACUCAAAUCAAUGUCAUCAAAAGUGCCAAGCACUCUCAAGCAAUACUUCUAUACAAUGCCCAAGGAACAGGUCAUGAACAUAAGCACUAGCAACGAAAAUUGAGGCACUAAGAUGAAACAAUUACAUCAAUUAAAACUAAUUGUAAGUACGAUGAAUUGGUUUUAAGACAAUGAAGCAAAAAUCAUCACCCAAAACUAUGCAAGGAAAUUUUAUAAAUUUUCGAGUUUCAUAUUUAAAUUCUUGGUAAAUAACUACGUUAAAAUAAGUGUCAAAACUUCUUCAAGUAUGUAGCAUAUAUAGCAUAGAGAUACUUAAUCUUCACUACAAUAUUUUAUAUAUUCAUCACUAUUCAUGCUCUCUACAUGCUCAUCGUUUACAUUUUGAAAUUUUAGUGCCAAAAAUGAAGCUUUUGCUUACAUUAAAUAUAAUUGUUGUCAUGUCCAUGUCCUCACUUCCUAAAAUAUUGGUGCCCUAUCAAUGACGCCCCAAAUCAAAUAAUCAUUACGACUGGUGACACCAAUCUAAGAGUUAUGCCAUGCAUUGACCUUGCCUUACCUCAUUUAAGGGCCUAGACGAACUCCUUAGUAGCCUUUAACAACACUGCUAGAUGUUGUAUGAUGUAGGAACAUCUUUAGUUAUAUAGUCCUUAGGAUUACUUUACCUUAGUUUGUUACCACUAGUUUCUAGAAUACUCCUUUUACCCUAUAAAUAUACAAGCUAUUGUAAGAGAGGGAUUAUUGAAUGAUAUAUACACUCUUUUGAAGCUUUUGGAAGCUCUCUUCUUCUUCUUCCCUGGAUUGGGAAACCCAAAUCCUUCUUGCAGGUCGCAUCUUCCGACGAUCCACUACAUCAUUGUACCACCAAAUAAAAUAUACAGUAACAAAGAUUGAAGUUCUAAUAAGAUUACCUAGAUAUUCUAUAAUUUAAUGCAAUACUAAAUAAAAAAAAUAAAACUAUAUAAAAAAAAAUUGUAUGAGUAAACAAGAUAUUGUCAAAUGAAGCUAAUUAGGAGUCCGAAAUCUAAAAAUAAACAUUUCAAAUUUGAUUUGAAGUUAAUCUAGUUAAUGCACUUCAACAAAUAAAAGACCAAAAUCCAAGAGGAGUCCAAAACAAAAAAAUGAACAUUUCAAAUUUUGUUUAAAGUUAAUUUAUGAAAUGAACAAAAAACACACUAGAAAUAGGAUCUUAGAUGUGAAUUUCAUGAUUUUAUGAGGUUCCACGAACCCAAAAAGCAAUCAAAGACAUAAACCUAAGGACAAAUUCAUACAAAUGAAAAAAAAAAAGAAAACCAAGAAAGAAAAUUCAACCAUCAUGCCAUCAUGCCUUAGGGGUGAAUGCAAUCCAUUUGAGAUUAAACAAGAGUAUCAUAAUAGUGGAAAAGAAAGAAGUUCAAAAGCAAGGUCUUUAUCUGAAGUUAUGAGUUAGUACUUAGUGAAUGUGACGCCCUCAAACCUAACAGCAACUUUCUCCCAAAUUUUAAAGGUGGAUCAGACCGAAAUAAUGCGCGAGUUCAUCCUUCAAAAUUCGUAUAUUUCUCCCUGCCUAAGGUAUGCAACUGAAAAUACUUAAUAUAAGUCGACCAAAGUUCACAAUCAGACACCAAAAUGCUAGGAGAUCCAGUUCAUCAGAGAGGCAAUCGACUUCCAGGCCUAGAACAUAAGGACCACGACCUAUAAUAUGAACAGCCUCUUUUUCAGCUCCACAAAUCGAUACCUAAUUCUAGACCAAGAAAAUAUUUUCCUAGGGAAAGAUUAGAGAACAAGUCGUGGCACUUAGGGGCUCUUUAGGUUCAGUGACACACGUAAUGUAAAAUGUUAUGCUUAUCAAUUUGACAAAUAUCUAACGUCAUGACAACUGUAGAAUCAUGUUAAUGUAUAUUAAUAUAGGUAAUAUUGACAUCACAAUAUAAUAAGCAAAACAUUUGACUGAUAGCAUCGCAACACUUACAUCUUAGCACUCAGAUCUUAAUAGCUGCAUUUCAAUAAACCAAAGAGCCACUAAAAAAUUCCAAAUAUUUCAUCCAUCCAUAACAAGAUUCCCAUCUAGCCUUCAGAACUCGCCGAUAUCAUUUUCAACGAAGCACUCAAGAAAACUUCAACUAAUUUUAUUAACCAACGCCGUCAUCGCCUUCAUUACUCACGCAGUCGUUACUCUUCACUAACCCUU